CCUACGGGUGGCAGCAGUAGGGAAUAUUGCUCAAUGGGGGAAACCCUGAUGCAGCAACGCCGCGUGGAGGAUGAAGGUUUUCGGAUUGUAAAGUCCUUUUGUUAGAGAAGAUAAUGACGGUAUCUAACGAAUAAGCACCGGCUAACUCCGUGCCAGCAGCCGCGGUAAUACGGAGGGUGCAAGCGUUACUCGGAAUCACUGGGCGUAAAGAGCGCGUAGGCGGGAUAGCAAGUCAGAUGUGAAGUCCUAUGGCUUAACCAUAGAACUGCAUUUGAAACUGUUAUUCUAGAGUAUGGGAGAGGGAGGUGGAAUUCUUGGUGUAGGGGUAAAAUGCGUAGAGAUCAAGAGGAAUACUCAUUGCGAAGGCGACCUGCUAGAACAUAACUGACGCUGAUGCGCGAAAGCGUGGGGAGCAAACAGGAUUAGAUACCCGAGUAGUC
This 440-nucleotide ribosomal RNA is filed under the name uncultured bacterium. RNAcentral describes it as "partial 16S ribosomal RNA". It matches the Rfam family "Bacterial small subunit ribosomal RNA", at positions 338 to 795 of the family's 1533-position model. The record is from RNAcentral.